Long non-coding RNA from Motacilla alba alba, 309 nucleotides. RefSeq lists it as uncharacterized. The transcript has 3 exons. NCBI's taxonomy places the organism in Eukaryota, Metazoa, Chordata, Aves, Passeriformes, Motacillidae. The record is from RefSeq and is a predicted model, not a curated record.
GCGCACAGUGUGAUAGUUGCAAUAUCAAUUAUGCUCCCCAGCUUCCAAGAAACAGCUGACCACAAGGAUGAAACUUGUGUGGGAGGAAGAGGGAGCAUGCUUGGCAGCUAUCCUCAGACGCAGGAGUCGCUGCCACAGGAAGACAGAGAGAAGAACAUGAGUAAAUGCUUCAGAGACAAAAAACCUCCAUGCUCCAGCAGUUCCAGGUCAUCUCAUUUUGCAUGAAGAUUUAUCAGAUUAAAAACUACACCAAACAACAGAUGAAAUCAAUCUCUGAAAAUGGCAUCUUGCGGACGAUGUUUGUUUCAU